UACGGAGGGUGCAAGCGUUGUUCGGAAUUACUGGGCGUAAAGGGUGUGUAGGUGGCGCUGUAAGUCGGGUGUGAAAUUUCGGAGCUUAACUCCGAAACUGCAUUCGAUACUGCGGUGCUUGAGGACUGGAGAGGAGACUGGAAUUCAUGGUGUAGCAGUGAAAUGCGUAGAGAUCAUGAGGAAGACCAGUGGCGAAGGCGGGUCUCUGGACAGUUCCUGACGCUGAGGCACGAAGGCCAGGGGAGCAAACGGG
RNAcentral lists this ribosomal RNA (253 nucleotides) under uncultured bacterium. RNAcentral's name for it is "partial 16S ribosomal RNA". It matches the Rfam family "Bacterial small subunit ribosomal RNA", at positions 524 to 776 of the family's 1533-position model. The record is from RNAcentral.